UGUAGGCUUUGACUACUACAAUCUUCUUCAAUUUCUUGAAGACAGAUUGUUGAGUGCUUUCAUGGCCUUCAUCUUCAAGAAAGCUUAUGGUAUCCUGAGAAAAGUAUGGAAGAAAAAGGCCUAGGAGUCGUUUUCAAUCAGACCAUGGAAUAGCUGCAGACAUCAUCACAAAACUGGACUUCCAGACUAUGCUAGACAACAAAAUUUCAUGUUAUUACUACAAAGAAUAUAUGAUGCAAAAUUCA
This is a long non-coding RNA of Saccostrea cuccullata (small rock oyster), 245 nucleotides long. RefSeq lists it as uncharacterized. The transcript is spliced from 3 exons. NCBI's taxonomy places the organism in Eukaryota, Metazoa, Mollusca, Bivalvia, Ostreida, Ostreidae. The record is from RefSeq and is a predicted model, not a curated record.